UUGAUUCGCACAAUUGGUCAUC
RNAcentral lists this non-coding RNA (22 nucleotides) under Arabidopsis thaliana (thale cress). The record is from RNAcentral. Lineage: Eukaryota; Viridiplantae; Streptophyta; Magnoliopsida; Brassicales; Brassicaceae.